UACGUAGGGGGCUAGCGUUGUCCGGAAUCAUUGGGCGUAAAGCGCGCGUAGGCGGCCCGGUAAGUCCGUUGUAAAAGUCAAAGGCUCAACCUUUGAAAGCCGAUGGAUACUACCGGGCUAGAGUCCGGAAGAGGCGAGUAGAAUUCCUGGUGUAGCGGUGGAAUGCGCAGAUAUCAGGAGGAAUACCCAUAGCGAAGGCAGCUCGCUGGGACGGUACUGACGCUGAGGCGCGAAAGCGUGGGGAGCGAACAGG
RNAcentral lists this ribosomal RNA (253 nucleotides) under uncultured bacterium. RNAcentral describes it as "partial 16S ribosomal RNA". It matches the Rfam family "Bacterial small subunit ribosomal RNA", at positions 524 to 776 of the family's 1533-position model. The record is from RNAcentral.